UAUCGUUACACGGGUAAGAGAGAAGCGCAGGUAUACCGCCGAUGUGAUCCGUACGUACGAACUGGCUUCGUCGUCUCAGCUGGUUGCACGAGCAUCUGGAUAUGGUCAGUUUUGUACAAGAUCUAAAAGAGAACUUCCACGUCCGCGUCUCGAAACCGCUGCUCGGGGAUUAGAAUUUCAAAGAUUUCGGAGAAACGGAAGAACCGACGCCGACUUUUGGACGGUUAUUAUAUGUGGAAUCUAUUGACCUACGAUAUCCAAUCGAGAGCCAUCGAUCAGUCAUCUUCCAAUUUCAAACGAGAAGAUCAUCGACGCGUCGGAAUUCCUCAUACCGUAACGCGACGCGACGCGGCGAGAUUUCUCGAAUUAUUAUCAUUUCAUUACCGCGCUUAUGCCCGACGUAGACCGCGUGGCAGCGGAUCCCGCAGCUGGCAUACUAAUAACGUGCAUACAUAUAAAAUACAUGUACAAACAAUAAGCGAUGUUCGAGUAAAUAUAUAUAUAUACGUGGCUUACAGUUAUAUGUAUUUGAAAAUAAGGAAAUAAAGAAAAAAAAAAAAAAAAGAAAGAAAGAAUUUAUACUCGAAUGCGCGCCUCCGUCUUUCUCUUAAGAUUCGAUACGUAGUCUGCACCGCGGCGUCGUGCGGGGAUUUAUUUAUAAGUUUUCGGUUUAAAAGAUAGGAAGA
Long non-coding RNA from Athalia rosae (coleseed sawfly), 686 nucleotides. RefSeq lists it as uncharacterized. The transcript is spliced from 3 exons. The record is from RefSeq and is a predicted model, not a curated record. Lineage: Eukaryota; Metazoa; Arthropoda; Insecta; Hymenoptera; Athaliidae.